ACCUGCAGUCCCCUCGGUCCCUAGGGACUUACUCUGAUCUUUCCUGAGUCUCUGAUGAGUAGAUCCCACAGCCUAGCUUCUCCUUCUCUCACAAUACACACUCCCACGUUGCCCUCACACCGCCUGGCUAGGCCUGACCAGGGUCCCUUUUUCUAUGACACAUCUGGUUACCCUCAGUGGCCACAGGUCUCAAAGCUGAGGCCAUUCCAAUUAUCCCUGAGACUCAUUUUCCCCUCCCAACUAUGAAGUAACCCCUUCUCCACUCUGAAGCCACAGAGAGCCUAGGGGUCUGGAAAUGAACCUUUACAGGCAUGUAAGGGCAUCUGUAGCCCCUCCCAAGAGUGUCUUGAUCUACAUCUGCCCUCCCAUGACCCUCUGAGACCCACUCACUCUUCCAAGAAGCCUCUAGGUCUAUUAUUGUCUUUCCAUAAGCCUCUUGGGAGUCCUUCAUCUUCCCUGAACCUAGGGGCCUUAAACCUCCCUUCUCAAAAUACUUAGAAGAGUCCCCCCUCUCUCUCCAAAGAACCUUAAAACUUCAUCCCCUUAUAUUCUGAGCCCUUCUUGUCCCUUCUAGAAUCAUCUAUGUCCAUGGCUGUCUUCCCACAAAACCAGAUGGCUUCCUUUGUCUCUUGAAGGAGCCUCUAGUUCUGCAACCGCCUUCCCAUGAUUCCCUGAGUCCCCUACAUCCCUCCCAAGUGAUCCUUUGAGGGCCCAUUCAUCCCUCCCAAGAGUUCUUGGCCAAACAAUGGCCUUCCCAUGAUGCUUUGGACCCACGUGCCCUUCUAAUAGCCUCUGGGCCUUAUAUCUAUCUUCCCAUGAGUCUCUGGGACUGAUGUUCAAACUUAGGAGCCAUUAUUCCCACGUACCUGGCACACCUUUUCAGAGAUGAGAUCUCCACAGCCCCCAAACCCAGGUCACCUGAGGGCCAGAAGGACCCAGCUUGGCCUGGAGAGAAGGUGCAGAGAUGAGCUGUGCCGAAGACAUGGUGGCCAUCGUCUGGAAGGCCUUGUCCUUGGAGACUUGGUCCUGGGGAAAGGUUGAGGUCCAGCUCCAGACGACUGCUCUGAGGCAGCGAGAGGCAGCGAGAGAAUGGGGGCUGCCCUUGGAGCAGAUCGAACCUCGGCUUCAGAGGGAGAGGUUUGCAUGUCCACAGUUUGCAUGUCCACACUUGAUGUAACGGGCGAUGAGUUCGUUCCGGCCUGGAGGAGUCAAAAUGGAAAAGAGUAAGACUCUCAGCAGAACUUCCUGCCAGAGAAGACACGUCAGCAAGCCAAUGAUCCCGGUCAAACUACAGCCAAGCCACGCUGGGGGACUCCUCGGCCACAGGGUCACCAGCUUAGCCACAUACUAACUAUGUGGCCACUGACAAACCACUUAGUCUUCCUGUGCCUCAGUUUCCCUCAUCUGGGUAGGGAAAAAUGCUAGAGCCUAAGUCAUAGGAAGAAUACAAUCUUUUUUCUUUGUUUUCUAUUUUA
Non-coding RNA from Rattus norvegicus (Norway rat), 1475 nucleotides. The record is from RefSeq and is a predicted model, not a curated record. Lineage: Eukaryota; Metazoa; Chordata; Mammalia; Rodentia; Muridae.